GAUGAAGAACGCAGCGAAAUGCGAUAAGUAAUGUGAAUUGCAGAAUUCAGUGAAUCAUCGAAUCUUUGAACGCACAUUGCGCCCGCCAGUAUUCUGGCGGGCAUGCCUGUUCGAGCGUCAUUUCAACCAUCAAGCCCCCGGCUUGUGUUGGGGACCUGCGGCUGCCGCAGGCCCUGAAAAGCAGUGUCGGGCUCGCUGUCACACCGAGCGUAGUAGCAUACAUCUCGCUCUGGGCGUGCUGCGGGUUCCGGCCGUUAAACCACCUUCAUAACCCAAGGUUGACCUCGGAUCAGGUAGGAAGACCCGCUGAACUUAAGCAUAUCAAUAAGCGGAGGA
This 336-nucleotide unclassified non-coding RNA is filed under the name soil metagenome. RNAcentral describes it as "partial contains 5.8S ribosomal RNA, internal transcribed spacer 2, and large subunit ribosomal RNA". The stretch from base 1 to 120 matches the Rfam family "5.8S ribosomal RNA", at positions 35 to 154 of the family's 154-position model. The record is from RNAcentral.